GGAUGGUAUAACCGACAGUUCAUAAAAGAUUAGGCUUAAUAUGUCAUAGGAUUCCAUGGUUGAAAACGACCUGCAGUGAUGGUGUAUUGGAAUCAAACUUCGUCUCUAGAAUGCCCUUUGAGCUACCAGUGAUGGCUACACAUUUACCCUAAACGGAUAUUGCGUAGCGAUGAGGGCUGUGGUGGCCGCCCGACAGUGACAAAAAGAAAGAGAAAAAUGGUACCCUCGCCUGCACAAACAACAAAACAAAGAGUUUACUCUUGCAGAUGUGAGAAAUUUAAACGUGGAACAUCUUGAUCAGUUCAGUCCAGAAUAUGUAGGAUUUGGUGAAUUUGGGACGAGAAUAUGAUUGAAAUGAAGGGUUGUGUGAGCAAUGCAAAGAGAUUGUAGAUGAAAGGCUCACUCUCUGAGUGCUUGAAGAGAAAAUCAAGAUCCUAACCUUCUGUCUCUCUCUCUCUUUCUUUCACGCGCGUGCGUACUCAGAAAAAUCUCUCCCGUGGACAGACACACGUACAACACCCUAAUCAAAUUUGCAGAAACAUUUUCUGCUACAGCUGCCUAAAUUGCAGAUAUAUAUUUAAAUAUUUCUGUAUCCAUUUUUCCUAAUUUCAUCUUUUUUUUAAGUUCAACAAUUGCAGGGUGAGGAUCGAACCAACGAACUUUAGACUAAACUAUGCUCGGAUUAAUGUAUAUGUUCGAAUUCCAACCCUUUAACCGAACGAGUGUAAAUUGAGAAGAAAGUAGGUUGCGUGCAACGCAGCUACAAAGACAGGCUUCAAAAUUCUGCAAUUCAGGUGAAGAAGGUGAGACAUGACAGUGGUGAAACAAAGUAAAGGUGAUCAGAAUUUUAUGUGUAUAUUCUUCUUCAACACACACACACACACACACACACACACACGUCAAAAUAUGAUAUAACCCAAUGGGUAAUAGAGAGCCCUAAAUUAAGCUCUACCUAGCCCCAUACGCGUCAAAGGGUCUAGAUUAAUUCCUCUCUUUUUUAGCCUUUUUCUUACCUAUGGAUAGAGAAAAAAAAAAAAAAAACUAAAUUUAUAAGAACAAACAAACAAACCAAAACACGACUUUUAUUAUUUUUCUAGCAUUUCUUUUACUCAUACAAAACAAAGAGAGCUACAUAAACUUACCUCUCUUAUGUGAUCUAGGUCUUUGCCUUUUCUUUGGAAUCAAUUCAAAAGAAAAAAGAAAAGUAUAAAUAAAACAACCACCACCAAAAAACCAACUCCCUUUUACCUUUCCAGUGAGAAAGCUUUAAAACCCUUCUUCCUUUCCCUUUGAUAAACUAACUUGUGAGGGUGAUUUAGUCACUGAAUUCUGCAAAGCUCUGCUGAACAAGCUGAAACAAAACCCUAACUGGAAGAAGAAGAAAAAGAAGAAGAAGAAGAAGAGAGAAAAGAGGGAGAGAGAGAGAGAGAGAGAGAGAGAGAGAGAAGUGAAAUGAGUGACAAAAAUUGAGGGUAUUGAGUGGAGGGAAAGAUGGGGAAAAGAGUAUAUUUAGUGGAUGGGAAGAAGCAGAGAGAAGGGAAUGGAGGCAAAAGACAAGGAUAAUAAAUGGUGGGUACACUAACAAAAGAAUGACUAUGACCCUGCAUCCAAUAAUAUUAUCAUGGAUGUGGGAUUGUCUCCCUUUUUUAUUCCCUUCUAAUUUUUUUCAUGCACUCCCCAUUACACACCUCAAUACCUAUCAUUUUCAUAUAUCUAUCAUUUUUUUUCAAUUGAAUACCUCCAUUAACGUUAUAAUACCCUUUUCAACACCCAUUCAUUCAUUGCUUAAGUAACGAGUAUAAAGCUAUUGAGAUUAUACUCUUUUCAUUACACAAGUAUACUCGUUAUUUAAGCAGUGAGAAUGAAAAGAUUUGAAGUUAGAAUUUAGAUGAAAGAUUGAAAUUUGAUGAAGUGUUUUGAGUAUAUAGACAUGUAGGUUCAUGAUAGAUUCACCACCAAAAAGAAAGAAAGAAAGAAAGAAAACUGAUAGCAGGAUUUUAUCACGAUUGUACUGACCGAGGCCAUGCACUGCAACUUGCAAAAUAAACCACAUAUCUCUUUCUUUUUCUUUUGCUUUCUCUCUCUCUUUCUCUCUCUCUGUAACUUGUUUCAAAUUCAAUCAUAUCGCAUCAUACUAAAAAAAUGGUUGCUAUUAUUGCGCAUCAAUUUAUGUUUUACUUUUUAACUCCCAAUGAUCUUCUUUUGGGUGAAAUUUAAACCAGCGAUGAAAAUAACAGAGCCUCACUUGAUUUUACUGGUAAGUAAAUGGUGAAUUUUUUCAAUUAUAAUAUCAUUUGUCCCUUUGUGUGUUCAUGUGCGUAUGAUGACAUCCUAUUAUUUAGUUCAUCAUUAAAUUCUAUAACUACUGAUUGAAUUCUUCCCUUCCCUUUAUGUGAUUAUUGUUUAAUUGAUGUUUUAUUCACGUAAUCAUGUUUAGUUUGAUUAGUAAAUUACAAUUUUCUGGUUAAACAAGUUAAACAUAGAGAUACACAUCGAUCACGUGGUUGAACCAAGAAAAUAAAGAAUUUAUUUCGAUCACAUACAAAUAUAUUAAGUUAUAAAUGUGGCAUUUAAUGGGGUUAGAGCCCACCAUUUUGGUAUUGUUAGGGAAUGAAGAACAUGAUAUUUGGUGACGAAGAGAACAGACUAGUGGAUGUAAAAUCAAGUUGAUGGGGCAGGAUGUAGCUUCUUUCGGUUAGGAUGGAGCUUCUUUCGAUUCUUUCGAUUUUGGCAUAGUGGAUCUCUGGACUACUAUGUAGUUCAGCGGUAUUAUGCACCCUCUGUAAUUGUGUCAUGUCAUGUGCUUAAUUGUGAGGACUCUUAGCCACAUACAUGUACUCGUCAAAAUUUUGACCUAGAAACGCGAAUCAUUUGAAGCAUUUUCGCAAUUGACAUAUUUUUCCCUGUCUUGAUUUGAGGUUUAAGGACGAAUUUCAUCUUUAGAGGAUGAACUGUAAUUCAAAGUGAGAUUCAACAUGAACCCUAACUUUCUAUUCACUCACGAGAUUUAAGUUGUAAU
Non-coding RNA from Cucurbita pepo subsp. pepo (vegetable marrow), 3019 nucleotides. The record is from RefSeq and is a predicted model, not a curated record. Lineage: Eukaryota; Viridiplantae; Streptophyta; Magnoliopsida; Cucurbitales; Cucurbitaceae.